This 1258-nucleotide small RNA is filed under the name Arabidopsis thaliana (thale cress). RNAcentral describes it as "putative long intergenic non-coding RNA". Lineage: Eukaryota; Viridiplantae; Streptophyta; Magnoliopsida; Brassicales; Brassicaceae. The record is from RNAcentral.
CUACACUCCAAUAAAGGAGGUCUUGAUUACAAGGGAAGAAAACCAAGCCAUGAAGGCUAAGCAAUUCGCUGCUACAAAAGCCAAGCGAAAACCAUAACAACAGAAAAUUACAAGAUAGAUACAGGCGAACAUACAACUCAAGCAAUAAACGAUAUCUUGGAGUCCAUGAACCUUGACAACCAUAGAGCAUAUGAGAUGAAACGACGCCUUGGGGAACAGAGAGCACAUAUAGUGAUCUGUUGGGAACAGAGAGCACAUGUAGUGGUCUGUUGUUCAUGAUUGAUACUGCAACUAGGGCAGAAAAUACAAUCCUAAUUCCGGCUAACAAUGCCUUUCUCUUUUCUAUUUUAAUCUUUGAGAGAGAGGAAGUCUUCUCCGAUGUUCCACUUUGGCUCCGGCAACGGCCAGCUUUUUUAGUGGUGUUGGUCAGCUUUACUCUAGCGUCGUUGGCUUUCUUAGCAACGUCGGCUAUUUUCUGAAUUUGUUUUUUGUUUUUCUUUCCUUUGUCUCUCUUUAACUUCAGUUUUCUUAAGUUUCAUUACUUUAAUUAGAUCCUUACAUAUGGGUGUGUAGUUCUUUGCUCCUCCUUUGCUUAAAGGGUUUAUUUUGUUCUUCAAACUUCUUGGUUUUAAUCAAUUAAGAACAAAUUGAAGUUGCAGAGCAAAGUCACGUUUAGUAUCUUUGGUUUUUUUGGAAGUAAUUAGGCUUAAUUUCUGGACUGAUGCUUUGGAUGAUUGAAUUUUUAUUCUCAGGUUUGAUGAAAGCAAAUCCCAAAUAUCUAAUUUUCCUUAUCGAUUGAAAAGCUUUUAACUGAAGAAGAAGAAGAAGAAGAUGAAGAAGAUUUACAGGUCUACAUCAAGUGGAGUCAUAAUCCAUCAAAACUCAAUUGAAAUUUCGCCUUGUUUCUUUGGGCGAAGAAGAUGAAUGACCUUCCCAACAAUUUCGGCUUGAAAGGAAGCUUCCAACGUCACUGCAACUUUCCGGUGAUCGGAGACUCCCUCAUCUUCAACUUCGCACGUGUCAUCCAUUCUGUUUUUCACUUGUCACGUGUGUCUACACUACCUUUCCUUCACGCUAAGGAUUUACAUUUAGGCAUUGGGCUUUUAUUUGUUGUUCCUUUACUUAAGGGUUUUCCUUGUUGGGUUUGGUUUUCAUUUUCAGAUCCAGUAGAAAAUAAUGGCCCAUGUUUGUUUUGGUUUACUCAUAACCAAACAUUGUAUGGUUUCUUUGGCUUAUUAAUAAUACUGAAACAUCAGUG